CUUUGAUUUUCCUGUUAUGGAAAAUCUUGUCAAGCAAAGUGUUAAGGAUAAACAACCGUUCGAGCGGAUUGAAGUUAGUAAAGAAGAUCUACGGGAAAUGUUCAAGUACAAUGAAUUUAAAGUGAGGAUCCUUAACAAAAAAGUUACAACACCAACAACUACUGUUUACCGAUGUGUGCCAUUAAUGGAUUUAUGCAGGGGACCUUUAUAACAUAUUCGUCAUACAGGCAAAGUCAAAGCCUUUAAAGUUAUCAAAAAUUCCGCUAUAUAUAGGGAAGGAAAUUCCAUGGCUGAAGCAUUGUAACGUGUCUAUGGUAUUUCAUUUUUGGACAAUAAGCAAAUGAAAAAAUAGGAAAAAUUCCAAGAAGAAGCUGCUAGAAGAGACCAUCGUAAAAUUGGAAGAGAACAAGAACUAUUUAUCUUCCAUGAAUUAAGUCCAGGAUCUUGUUUCUUCCAACCAAAAGGUGCGCAUAUUUAUAAUACUUACUUUAAUUGAGUUCAUUAAAAGUGAAUACAAAAAACGUGGAUUCCAAAAAUUAGUAUCGCCGAAUAUUUACAAUGUUAAGUUAUGGGAAAAAUCUGGUCAUUGGACACAUA
Acyrthosiphon pisum (pea aphid) is the source of this 597-nucleotide long non-coding RNA. RefSeq lists it as uncharacterized. Lineage: Eukaryota; Metazoa; Arthropoda; Insecta; Hemiptera; Aphididae. The record is from RefSeq and is a predicted model, not a curated record. The transcript is spliced from 4 exons.